This 511-nucleotide ribosomal RNA is filed under the name bacterium enrichment culture clone ALO1_GLFRUDD03GFXHZ. Its description in RNAcentral is "bacterial SSU rRNA". It matches the Rfam family "Bacterial small subunit ribosomal RNA", at positions 9 to 514 of the family's 1533-position model. The record is from RNAcentral.
GAGUUUGAUCAUGGCUCAGAUUGAACGCUGGCGGCAGGCCUAACACAUGCAAGUCGAGCGGAUGACGGGAGCUUGCUCCUUGAUUCAGCGGCGGACGGGUGAGUAAUGCCUAGGAAUCUGCCUGGUAGUGGGGGACAACGUUUCGAAAGGAACGCUAAUACCGCAUACGUCCUACGGGAGAAAGCAGGGGACCUUCGGGCCUUGCGCUAUCAGAUGAGCCUAGGUCGGAUUAGCUAGUUGGUGGGGUAAGUGGCUCACCAAGGCGACGAUCCGUAACUGGUCUGAGAGGAUGAUCAGUCACACUGGAACUGAGACACGGUCCAGACUCCUACGGGAGGCAGCAGUGGGGGAAUAUUGGACAAUGGGCGAAAGCCUGAUCCAGCCAUGCCGCGUGUGUGAAGAAGGUCUUCGGAUUGUAAAGCACUUUAAGUUGGGAGGAAGGGCAGUAAGUUAAUACCUUGCUGUUUGACGUUACCGACAGAAUAAGCACCGGCUAACUCUGUGCCAGCAC